Molecule: ribosomal RNA, 496 nt
Filed under: uncultured bacterium
Lineage: Bacteria
Description: partial 16S ribosomal RNA
Rfam family: Bacterial small subunit ribosomal RNA
Source: RNAcentral
AUGAACGCUGGCGGCGUGCCUAAUACAUGCAAGUCGAGCGAACAGACGAGGAGCUUGCUCCUCUGACGUUAGCGGCGGACGGGUGAGUAACACGUGGAUAACCUACCUAUAAGACUGGGAUAACUUCGGGAAACCGGAGCUAAUACCGGAUAAUAUAUUGAACCGCAUGGUUCAAUAGUGAAAGACGGUUUUGCUGUCACUUAUAGAUGGAUCCGCGCCGCAUUAGCUAGUUGGUAAGGUAACGGCUUACCAACGCAACGAUGCGUAGCCGACCUGAGAGGGUGAUCGGCCACACUGGAACUGAGACACGGUCCAGACUCCUACGGGAGGCAGCAGUAGGGAAUCUUCCGCAAUGGGCGAAAGCCUGACGGAGCAACGCCGCGUGAGUGAUGAAGGUCUUCGGAUCGUAAAACUCUGUUAUUAGGGAAGAACAAAUGUGUAAGUAACUAUGCACGUCUUGACGGUACCUAAUCAGAAAGCCACGGCUAACUACGUG